This 468-nucleotide ribosomal RNA is filed under the name uncultured bacterium. RNAcentral's name for it is "partial 16S ribosomal RNA". It matches the Rfam family "Bacterial small subunit ribosomal RNA", at positions 28 to 507 of the family's 1533-position model. The record is from RNAcentral.
GACGAACGCUGGCGGCGUGCUUAACACAUGCAAGUCGAACGGAAAGGCCCUGCUUUUGUGGGGUGCUCGAGUGGCGAACGGGUGAGUAACACGUGAGUAACCUGCCCUUGACUUUGGGAUAACUUCAGGAAACUGGGGCUAAUACCGGAUAGGAGCUCCUGCUGCAUGGAGGGGGUUGGAAAGUUUCGGCGGUUGGGGAUGGACUCGCGGCUUAUCAGCUUGUUGGUGGGGUAGUGGCUUACCAAGGCUUUGACGGGUAGCCGGCCUGAGAGGGUGACCGGCCACAUUGGGACUGAGAUACGGCCCAGACUCCUACGGGAGGCAGCAGUGGGGAAUAUUGCACAAUGGGCGGAAGCCUGAUGCAGCAACGCCGCGUGCGGGAUGACGGCCUUCGGUUUGUAAACCGCUUUCGCCUGUGACGAAGCGUGAGUGACGGUAAUGGGUAAAGAAGCACCGGCUAACUACGUG